This 332-nucleotide ribosomal RNA is filed under the name uncultured eukaryote. Its description in RNAcentral is "partial 18S ribosomal RNA". It matches the Rfam family "Eukaryotic small subunit ribosomal RNA", at positions 1470 to 1796 of the family's 1831-position model. The record is from RNAcentral.
CCCUUAGAUGUUCUGGGCUGCACACGUGCUACACUGGCAGGUUCAGCGAGCUUCAUGCCCUGAUCUGAAAGGAAUGGGAAAUCUUUUCAAAACCUGCCGUGCUUGGGAUAGAUGUUUGCAAUUAUUCAUCUUCAACGAGGAUUGCCUUGUAAGCGCACGUCAUCAGCGUGCAUUGAAUACGACCCUGUAUUCUGUACACACCGCCCGUCGCUCCUACCGAUUGAAGUUUUCGGUGAGUUGACAGGAGGAUUUUUUUGAAACUGGUUCGCCAAUGGAUUUUAGAUCCAAAUGCCAACGAAUCGAUGGCUUUAGAGGAAGGAGAAGUCGUAACA